GGUUGAUCCUGCCAGUAGCAUAUGCUUGUCUCAAAGAUUAAGCCAUGCAUGUCUAAGUAUAAACAACUUUAUACUGUUGAAACUGCGUACAGCUCAUUAAAUCAGUGAUAAUUUAUUUGAAGAUAGUUAACUACAUGGAUACCCGUAGUAAUUCUAGAGCUAAUACAUGAUAAAUCUGCUUGUAAAAGAGUAGAGUGUUUAUUAGAUUUUAACCAAUACAUUUGUUUUGGUGAGUGCUAGUAACCAAAGUGACCUCUCUGUUGAGAGGCGGUUCAUUCAAAUUUCUGCCCUAU
RNAcentral lists this ribosomal RNA (293 nucleotides) under uncultured eukaryote. Its description in RNAcentral is "partial 18S ribosomal RNA". It matches the Rfam family "Eukaryotic small subunit ribosomal RNA", at positions 6 to 315 of the family's 1831-position model. The record is from RNAcentral.